UGGUGUUCGGGUUGUCAUGCCAAUGGCACUGCCCGGUAGCUAAAUGCGGAAGAGAUAAGUGCUGAAAGCAUCUAAGCACGAAACUUGCCCCGAGAUGAGUUCUCCCUGACUCCUUGAGAGUCCUGAAGGAACGUUGAAGACGACGACGUUGAUAGGCCGGGUGUGUAAGCGCAGCGAUGCGUUGAGCUAACCGGUACUAAUGAACCGUGAGGCUUAACCUUACAACGCCGAAG
This 233-nucleotide ribosomal RNA is filed under the name Escherichia coli. RNAcentral describes it as "partial 23S ribosomal RNA". It matches the Rfam family "Bacterial large subunit ribosomal RNA", at positions 2710 to 2925 of the family's 2925-position model. Lineage: Bacteria; Pseudomonadati; Pseudomonadota; Gammaproteobacteria; Enterobacterales; Enterobacteriaceae. The record is from RNAcentral.